RNAcentral lists this long non-coding RNA (1567 nucleotides) under Cyanistes caeruleus (blue tit). Its description in RNAcentral is "lncRNA (ENSCCEG00000007639.1)". The record is from RNAcentral. Lineage: Eukaryota; Metazoa; Chordata; Aves; Passeriformes; Paridae.
GAUCAUUGGUGCCAUUCUGAUUUAUUCUCUUUCAAUAUCUGUUUAUAACACACGAGCUUCGUUGUGUGCAACGAUGGAGAUAAAUUUUGGCCCCUUGCUUUUCACAGCCAUUUUCCAGCUGUAUAUCAUCCAUUCUCCUCUCAUUUAGAUACUCACUCCUACUUCAGGAAAAAUAAAAAUAUCCCAGUAGUGUAGGUAAUAAAGCUGGGGAAACAAACUCGGAAGUGCAUUUUACAAUGGAAUUUGAUUGUGAUAAUUUUUCAUGUGUUAAAAAAGGAUUUAUUUAUUUAUUUAUUUAUUUUUUCCACAGAGAAGCAUCUCUGCAUUUAUUAGCUGAGUUCAUUGAAAAACUGUAUUUUGUAAUUUAAUGAGGCUGGAAGUUGCACAGGUAACAGCUGAAACAAAAGCUCCUGGCAGUGUGAAUUCACAUUUUGGAAGUGCACCGCCCUGCAAGCCUGUUGUAAACAUCUACAAAAAAAUACUGCAGAAUGCUAUAAAAGAGAAGAUUACCAAGUUGGAGGGUCAGAUGAGUAGAAAAUUACGAGCUGCUGGUCCGUGUGCUCAGCCUUCGCCUGCGAUUGCAUCUGCUGCAGGUGAGGCCAAUAAUUGUGGGAGCCCUGUAAUAGCUGCCAGGGAGGGAAUUAGUUCUGAUGGAUGGUAAAUACUUUGCCAGUCAUUUUGACGUUAUUUUCAAAAUCCUGGGUCAAUUAAUACUUCUUGAAUGGAUCAGAAAAAGAGGCACAAAACUGGAGUUGUUUAUUUUGUGUAUGUCUCUGUAUAUAUUGUAGGAUAUGGAGAGCUGGGUUUUGUUCAUUUUCUUUACCAAGGAAAUGAGCUGGGUUCUGUGUCCCCAGCCCAGAGAAUGGCUGGAGCUGCUGCUGGGGCCUGGCUGUGCCUGUGGCUCUCCCCCUGCUCCUCGGGGCUGAAUUCCAGUGGUGCCCAGAGCCAGCAGAGCCCUGUGCCCAGCCAGAGCCUGGAGCAGCUGUGGGCAGGAUGCUCCUGGAGCCCUCUGAGCCACUCCAGGAGAGGGAGAGCAGCAGCUCUGGGUCUGUUCUCACACCUCUCCAAGCCCACAGCCGAGGGGGUCUCGCUCCUCUGCUGGCUCUUUUCCCACGUUUCGUGUCCCAGGUGGGAAGUGUCCCCUUCCUCUCUCUUUCAGAGAAGGAUGCUGCAGAAGGGUUUCCAUCGGGAUAUCAGUGGGGGAAUGAAGGAUGGAGCCCCUUGGUGCUGCACAUCCCUCAGCAGGAGGGACCUCCCCGAGCACAGAGCUCCCCCAGACACGGCUGCAGAGGAUGGAGGAGCUGGGGGCACCUUCAGGCUGCACUCUUCACCCGAGCUCCUGGAUCCUGACUGGAGCAGCCACUGGAGCGUGGCACAGGAACUCUGCUGCCUGUGCAGCCUCGUCCUGAGGCACAGCCCGGCCUGGGGGCUCAGCCAGAGCCCCUGCACAACUCUCUGGGAUCUCUCUUCCCUUUUUUGGGGGCCCCAAAACCACCCAGAAAAGUUCUUUCCAUGGAAGCGACAGCCGUGCCGUGCCCGGCUCCUGAAGGGAAGGAAGGCUUUGUGA